ACCGGGUGGUAAUGCCGGAUGCUCCAGUUGACCGCAUGGUCCUCUGGGAAAGAUUCAUCGGUAUGGGAUGGGGUCGCGUCCUAUCAGCUUGAUGGCGGGGUAACGGCCCACCAUGGCUUCGACGGGUAGCCGGCCUGAGAGGGCGACCGGCCACAUUGGGACUGAGAUACGGCCCAGACUCCUACGGGAGGCAGCAGUGGGGAAUAUUGCACAAUGGGCGCAAGCCUGAUGCAGCGACGCCGCGUGCGGGAUGACGGCCUUCGGGUUGUAAACCGCUUUUGACUGGGAGCAAGCCCUUCGGGGUGAGUGUACCUUUCGAAUAAGCACCGGCUAACUACGUGCCAGCAGCCGCGGUAAUACGUAGGGUGCAAGCGUUAUCCGGAAUUAUUGGGCGUAAAGGGCUCGUAGGCGGUUCGUCGCGUCCGGUGUGAAAGUCCAUCGCUUAACGGUGGAUCCGCGCCGGGUACGGGCGGGCUUGAGUGCGGUAGGGGAGACUGGAAUUCCCGGUGUAACGGUGGAAUGUGUAGAUAUCGAAAAAGAACACCA
This 546-nucleotide ribosomal RNA is filed under the name Bifidobacterium adolescentis. Its description in RNAcentral is "partial 16S ribosomal RNA". It matches the Rfam family "Bacterial small subunit ribosomal RNA", at positions 155 to 711 of the family's 1533-position model. The record is from RNAcentral. Lineage: Bacteria; Bacillati; Actinomycetota; Actinomycetes; Bifidobacteriales; Bifidobacteriaceae.